AUACGGAGGGUCCAAGCGUUAUCCGGAAUCAUUGGGUUUAAAGGGUGCGCAGGCGGUUUAUUAAGUCAGUGGUGAAAUCUCGGGGCUCAACCUCGAAACUGCCAUUGAUACUGAUAAACUAGAGUUCAGUUGGAGUAGGCGGAAUGUGUAGUGUAGCGGUGAAAUGCUUAGAUAUUACACAGAACACCGAUAGCGAAGGCAGCUUACUAAACUGAUACUGACGCUGAGGCACGAAAGCGUGGGGAGCGAACAGGAUUAGAAACCCGAGUAGUCC
RNAcentral lists this ribosomal RNA (274 nucleotides) under uncultured bacterium. RNAcentral describes it as "partial 16S ribosomal RNA". It matches the Rfam family "Bacterial small subunit ribosomal RNA", at positions 523 to 796 of the family's 1533-position model. The record is from RNAcentral.